Molecule: non-coding RNA, 432 nt
Organism: Gossypium hirsutum (cotton)
Lineage: Eukaryota; Viridiplantae; Streptophyta; Magnoliopsida; Malvales; Malvaceae
Source: Rfam
AUGGUGGCCGAGGCUCCCACACGACCAAGGGCCUAUUUUGCCGAUGGUGCUCGAGGCUCCUGCACGACCAAGGGCUUAGUUUGUCGAUGGUUCCCGAGCCUCUCGCACGACCAAGAACGAAAGUUGGGGGCUCGAAGAAGAUCAGAUACCGUCCUAGUCUCAACCAUAAACGAUACCGACCAGGGAUCGGCGGAUGUUGCUUUUAGGACUCCACCGACACCUUAUGAGAAAUCGAAGUCUUUGGGUUCCAAGGGGAGUAUGGUCGCAAGGCUGAAACUUAAAGGAAUUGACCAGUUUCGAAUGCGGGCAAGGGCUUGGCAAGGCCAAGGCGCCGACUUGGGAUGCACAAGGCGUCCCUAAACGUGACGGGGGCGAAAGGGCAAGCCAAGCUCGAGCCCAUAGCAAUGCAUAAGCCACCCCAAGAGAUCUUUG